CUGCCAAAUAAUUGUGUGGCCUAUUUCCCACACAGUUAUUGCUUCAUGUCCGGCAAAGAUCAAAGGACAAUAUCGUGAACUAAGCAAAUUCAAUUUAGAAAUGUUUGGUCUUUAUUAUUGUCUACA
Molecule: small nucleolar RNA, 126 nt
Filed under: Drosophila willistoni
Lineage: Eukaryota; Metazoa; Arthropoda; Insecta; Diptera; Drosophilidae
Description: snoRNA:GK26666
Source: RNAcentral